UACGAAGGGGGCUAGCGUUGCUCGGAAUCACUGGGCGUAAAGGGCGCGUAGGCGGCCGAUCAAGUCGGAGGUGAAAGCCCAGGGCCCAACCUUGGAAUUGCCUUUGAUACUGGCUGUCUUGAGUUCGGGAGAGGUGAGUGGAAUGCCGAGUGUAGAGGUGAAAUUCGUAGAUAUUCGGCGGAACACCAGUGGCGAAGGCGACUCACUGGCCCGAUACUGACGCUGAGGCGCGAAAGCGUGGGGAGCAAACAGG
This 253-nucleotide ribosomal RNA is filed under the name uncultured bacterium. Its description in RNAcentral is "partial 16S ribosomal RNA". It matches the Rfam family "Bacterial small subunit ribosomal RNA", at positions 524 to 776 of the family's 1533-position model. The record is from RNAcentral.